RNAcentral lists this small RNA (28 nucleotides) under Bombyx mori (domestic silkworm). Its description in RNAcentral is "ovarian small RNA-20497". The record is from RNAcentral. Lineage: Eukaryota; Metazoa; Arthropoda; Insecta; Lepidoptera; Bombycidae.
UACAUUUAUGUGUUUGUGUCUCUAUGGA